CCUACGGGUGGCAGCAGUGAGGAAUAUUGGUCAAUGGGCGCGAGCCUGACCCAGCCAAGUAGCGUGAAGGAUGACUGCCCUACGGGUUGUAAACUUCUUUUAUAAAGGAAUAAAGUGAGGCACGUGUGCCUUUUUGUAUGUACUUUAUGAAUAAGGAUCGGCUAACUCCGUGCCAGCAGCCUCGGUAAUACGGAGGAUCCGAGCGUUAUCCGGAGUUAUUGGGUUUAACGGGAGCGUAGAUGGGUUGUUAAGUCAGUGGUGAAAGUUUGCGGUCCAACCGUAAAAUUUCAAUUGAUACUGGCAGCCUUGAGUACAGUGGAGGUAGGCGGAAUUCGUGGUGUAGCGGUGAAAUGCUUAGAUAUCACGAAGAACUCCGAUUGCGAAGGCAGCUUACUAAACUGCCACUGACAUUGAUGCUCGAAAGUGUGGGUAGCAAACAGGAUUAGAUACCCGGGUAGUC
This 460-nucleotide ribosomal RNA is filed under the name uncultured bacterium. RNAcentral's name for it is "partial 16S ribosomal RNA". It matches the Rfam family "Bacterial small subunit ribosomal RNA", at positions 338 to 795 of the family's 1533-position model. The record is from RNAcentral.